GUGAGGUGGAAGUGAGUGGAAGUGACAGGGCAGGCCAUUUCCAAGAGAGCCAGUCUGAGCCAGCCUUACUUGGCUUGGCUCGCGGCAGGGACUAGCCUUUGCUGGAUCACCUCCGUCACAUCAACAAAACAAAAGCUGUCAUGAUGGGAAGCUGAAGAUAACUGAGCCUUCACUGUACCAACCAUGGCAACAUAAAGACAACAAAUGGCAAUGAAAAUGUGCCAACAUACCUACAAUCUCUGAUCUCCUGUGUCACAUGUUCGCUUCAUCCUUUAAGAAGCUCAAUCAUUUGCUAUGGCAUUGCUGAAUGGAGUUUCUCACUUCCCUGGCUCACUGAGCUCAGAUUAGCCAUCUAUUCUUACUAUGUUCCUGACAGCCUAGAUUUCCAUAAAACCUUUUCUAGUAACAUUCAAAACUUUGUUCUGAGAAAAGGAAGUGUAUAACAGGUCAAGAAAGAAAAUAAAUG
Long non-coding RNA from Oncorhynchus kisutch (coho salmon), 466 nucleotides. RefSeq lists it as uncharacterized. Lineage: Eukaryota; Metazoa; Chordata; Actinopteri; Salmoniformes; Salmonidae. The transcript is spliced from 3 exons. The record is from RefSeq and is a predicted model, not a curated record.